CUGGGACUUUGUCACCCAAAUGCAAAGCUGAUGUGCAGAAUAUAAUUAACUUGGAUGAUGUAACUUCUUUAGUCAAUGCUUCAUCUCUUUAUUCUCUAUGGCAAGGAAAGCAUUAAAAUGGGUACUUGGCAGAGAACUUCUGAUAGAACGUCUUCCAGAAGCAAAGGAGAAAACCAUUCCGAUACUGUGUAGUAUCCCAUUUUAACAGGCUUCGAAUGAAGCAUUGACUUUUUCAGUUUGAGUGUUAGAUAACAAAGAAAUAAGAGCCUUCUAGCAACAGUCCGUCUGGCUCUGAAGCAUCUUCAAACAACAAGUGAAGCCAUAACGUCUCCAUUGCACUGCUAGCGUGACCAAAGCAGGUGCAGGGGUAUGUGUGUCGGCUUUAGUAAAGAUUGUUGGAGCCACUAAUACAAGUGAAGGCCCA
RNAcentral lists this long non-coding RNA (424 nucleotides) under Struthio camelus australis. Its description in RNAcentral is "lncRNA (ENSSCUG00000010091.1)". The record is from RNAcentral. Lineage: Eukaryota; Metazoa; Chordata; Aves; Struthioniformes; Struthionidae.